UCGAGAGGCUUCGGCAAUGGGGGAAACCCUGACCGAGCGACGCCGCGUGGGUGAUGAAGAUCCUCGGAUCGUAAAACCCUGUCAGGUGGGAUGAAAUACCAUUCGGUUAACACCCGAGUGGCUUGACAGUACCACCAGAGGAAGCUCCGGCCAACUCCGUGCCAGCAGCCGCGGUAACACGGGGGGAGCAAGCGUUGUUCGGAUUCAUUGGGCGUAAAGGGCUCGUAGGCCGCUCUGUAAGUCGGAAGUGAAAGACCACGGCUCAACCGUGGAACCGCUUUCGAAACUGCGGAGCUUGAGGCCGGGAGAGGAGAUUGGAAUUCCUGGUGUAGCGGUGAAAUGCGUAGAUAUCAGGAGGAACACCCGUGGCGAAGGCGAAUCUCUGGACCGGUUCUGACGCUGAUGAGCGAAAGCUAGGGGAGCAAACAGGAUUAGAUACCCUGGUAGUCCUAGCUGUAAACGAUGGGCACUAGGU
RNAcentral lists this ribosomal RNA (475 nucleotides) under uncultured bacterium. RNAcentral describes it as "bacterial SSU rRNA". It matches the Rfam family "Bacterial small subunit ribosomal RNA", at positions 355 to 821 of the family's 1533-position model. The record is from RNAcentral.